This 492-nucleotide ribosomal RNA is filed under the name uncultured bacterium. RNAcentral's name for it is "partial 16S ribosomal RNA". It matches the Rfam family "Bacterial small subunit ribosomal RNA", at positions 29 to 507 of the family's 1533-position model. The record is from RNAcentral.
AGUGAACGCUGGCGGUAGGCCUAACACAUGCAAGUCGAACGGCAGCACAGUAAGAGCUUGCUCUUACGGGUGGCGAGUGGCGGACGGGUGAGGAAUACAUCGGAUUCUACUUUUUCGUGGGGGAUAACGUAGGGAAACUUACGCUAAUACCUCAUACGACCUACGGGUGAAAGCAGGGGAUCUUCGGACCUUGCGCGAUUGAAUGAGCCUAUGUCGGAUUAGCUAGUUGGCGGGGUAAAGGCCCACCAAGGCGACGAUCCGUAGCUGGUCUGAGAGGAUGAUCAGCCACACUGGAACUGAGACACGGUCCAGACUCCUACGGGAGGCAGCAGUGGGGAAUAUUGGACAAUGGGCGCAAGCCUGAUCCAGCCAUACCGCGUGGGUGAAGAAGGCCUUCGGGUUGUAAAGCCCUUUUGUUGGGAAAGAAAAGCAGCAGGUUAAUACCCCGCUGUUCUGACGGUACCCAAAGAAUAAGCACCGGCUAACUUCGUG